GACGAACGCUGGCGGCGUGCUUAACACAUGCAAGUCGAGCGGUAAGGCCCUUUCGGGGGUACGACGAGCGGCGAACGGGUGAGUAACACGUGGGUGACCUGCCCUCAGCUCUGGGAUAAGCCUGGGAAACCGGGUCUAAUACUGGAUAUGACUCCAUGACGCAUGUUGUGGGGUGGAAAGCCUUGUGCGGCUGAGGAUGGGCCCGCGGGCCUAUCAGCUUGUUGGUGGGGUGANGGCCUACCAAGGCGACGACGGGUAGCCGGCCUGAGAGGGCGACCGGCCACACUGGGACUGAGACACGGCCCAGACUCCUACGGGAGGCAGCAGUGGGGAAUCUUGCGCAAUGGGCGAAAGCCUGACGCAGCGACGCCGCGUGAGGGAUGACGGCCUGGU
RNAcentral lists this ribosomal RNA (393 nucleotides) under uncultured bacterium. RNAcentral's name for it is "bacterial SSU rRNA". It matches the Rfam family "Bacterial small subunit ribosomal RNA", at positions 28 to 420 of the family's 1533-position model. The record is from RNAcentral.